AACGCGUGAGGAACCUGCCUUGAAGAGGGGGACAACAGUUGGAAACGACUGCUAAUACCGCAUGAAGCAUAGGGGUCGCAUGAUUCUUAUGCCAAAGAUUUAUCGCUUCAAGAUGGCCUCGCGUCUGAUUAGCUAGUUGGCGGGGUAACGGCCCACCAAGGCGACGAUCAGUAGCCGGACUGAGAGGUUGAACGGCCACAUUGGGACUGAGAUACGGCCCAGACUCCUACGGGAGGCAGCAGUGGGGAAUAUUGGGCAAUGGGCGCAAGCCUGACCCAGCAACGCCGCGUGAAGGAAGAAGGCUUUCGGGUUGUAAACUUCUUUUAAGAGGGAAGAGCAGAAGACGGUACCUCUAGAAUAAGCCACGGCUAACUACGUGCCAGCAGCCGCGGUAAUACGUAGAUGGCAAGCGUUGUCCGGAUUUACUGGGUGUAAAGGGCGUGCAGCCGGGUCUGCAAGUCAGAUGUGAAAUCCAUGGGCUCAACCCAUGAACUGCAUUUGAAACUGUAGAUCUUGAGUGUCGGAGGGGCAAUCGGAAUUCCUAGUGUAGCGGUGAAAUGCGUAGAUAUUAGGAGGAACACCAGUGGCGAAGGCGGAUUGCUGGACGAUAACUGACGGUGAGGCGCGAAAGUGUGGGGAGCAAACAGGAUUAGAUACCCUGGUAGUCCACACUGUAAACGAUGAAUACUAGGUGUGCGGGGACUGACCCCCUGCGUGCCGCAGUAAACACAAUAAGUAUUCCACCUGGGGAGUA
RNAcentral lists this ribosomal RNA (754 nucleotides) under uncultured bacterium. RNAcentral's name for it is "bacterial SSU rRNA". It matches the Rfam family "Bacterial small subunit ribosomal RNA", at positions 112 to 882 of the family's 1533-position model. The record is from RNAcentral.